AGGGCACCACCAGGAGUGGAGCCUGCGGCUUAAUUUGACUCAACACGGGAAAACUCACCCGGCCCGGACACUGUAAGGAUUGACAGACUGAGAGCUCUUUCUUAAUUCGGUGGGUGGUGGUGCAUGGCCGUUCUUAGUUGGUGGAGCGAUUUGUCUGGUUAAUUCCGAUAACGAACGAGACUCUGGCCUAUUGAAUAGACGGUGUAUCUUGCAGUAUACCGCGCUUCUUAGAGGGACAAGCGGCGUCUAGCCCCCAUGAAAUAGAGCAAAUAACCAGUCCUGUGAUGCCCUUUAGAUGGCCCGGGGCCUGGCCCCGGCGCCUACCACUUGAAAGAAAUCACGGUGCGAAUAAGCCGGGUUCCGAAAGGAAUUCGGGUAACCCCAAGGUAAUUCCUUUCCCGGUUGGGGAUUAGGGAUUGCAAAUAUUUUUCCCUUUAAAACAGGAAAUUCCCAGAAAAAUGGGGGGCUUAAACUCCCCGUUUAAUUCCGCCCCUGCCCCUUUGUAAAAAAGGGCGGGGG
This 519-nucleotide ribosomal RNA is filed under the name uncultured eukaryote. RNAcentral's name for it is "bacterial SSU rRNA". It matches the Rfam family "Eukaryotic small subunit ribosomal RNA", at positions 1161 to 1664 of the family's 1831-position model. The record is from RNAcentral.